UGUGGAACUUAAAAAUCAACGGCCACCGCGAACCUAAGACUAAACCCACCGGGGCUACAGACAUCGCAGAGCAUGGCCGAUAUUUUUCGGUUGGGGCGACCUUGGAGAACAACAGAUCCUCCAAAAACAAGACCACACCUCUUUACUUAGAGCCACCCCUCAAAGUGCUAAUAGUGACCAGACCCAAUAUAAUUGAUUAAUGGACCAAGCUACCCCA
Molecule: ribosomal RNA, 217 nt
Filed under: Anas platyrhynchos (mallard)
Lineage: Eukaryota; Metazoa; Chordata; Aves; Anseriformes; Anatidae
Description: partial 16S ribosomal RNA
Source: RNAcentral